AUAUGAGUGGUGUAGUGGUUUGGAUGUUGGACUAGGACUCAUGAGACCAGGAUUCGAAUCCCUACUUGGCCA
Phrynosoma platyrhinos (Desert horned lizard) is the source of this 72-nucleotide non-coding RNA. NCBI's taxonomy places the organism in Eukaryota, Metazoa, Chordata, Lepidosauria, Squamata, Phrynosomatidae. The record is from the annotation of a GenBank genome assembly.